ACUGGGCUUCAAUAUUGGCUUCUAAAUCUUGGGUUUCUGAACUCCGCUCAUCUUGUUGGGGAUACAGUUCAUUCAUGACUUCCACAGCUGCACUAAUGAAAACAUCGUAAACCUGAUUGAUGGGGAUGACAGCCUGUAGCGAACGAAGAGCAUGGUCUACAAUCGGAGCAGCGGGGUAGAAGGAUAGCAAUAGGAGAACAGGAUAAACAUACCAGAAGAGUGGCUGCGGGAAAAUGAGUGAAGCCAUGAAUGAAACAGUGGCGGAGAGCGGGCGGUUUCCAAAUCGCAGACGUAUGUGGAGUGUGU
This 306-nucleotide long non-coding RNA is filed under the name Vitis vinifera (wine grape). RNAcentral describes it as "long non-coding RNA (VVIN_LNC007905)". Lineage: Eukaryota; Viridiplantae; Streptophyta; Magnoliopsida; Vitales; Vitaceae. The record is from RNAcentral.